UGGUGGAGUGAUUUGUCUGGUUAAUUCCGAUAACGAACGAGACCUUAACCUGCUAAAUAGCCAGGCCGGCUUUGGCCGGUCGCGGGCUUCUUAGAGGGACUGUCGGCGUCUAGUCGACGGAAGUUUGAGGCAAUAACA
This 138-nucleotide ribosomal RNA is filed under the name uncultured eukaryote. RNAcentral describes it as "partial 18S ribosomal RNA". It matches the Rfam family "Eukaryotic small subunit ribosomal RNA", at positions 1299 to 1458 of the family's 1831-position model. The record is from RNAcentral.